UGGGGAAUAUUGGACAAUGGGCGAAAGCCUGAUCCAGCCAUGCCGCGUGUGUGAAGAAGGUCUUCGGAUUGUAAAGCACUUUAAGUUGGGAGGAAGGGCAGUAAGCGAAUACCUUGCUGUUUUGACGUUACCGACAGAAUAAGCACCGGCUAACUCUGUGCCAGCAGCCGCGGUAAUACAGAGGGUGCAAGCGUUAAUCGGAAUUACUGGGCGUAAAGCGCGCGUAGGUGGUUCGUUAAGUUGAAUGUGAAAGCCCCGGGCUCAACCUGGGAACUGCAUUAAAAACUGGCGAGCUAGAGUAGGGCAGAGGGUGGUGGAAUUUCCUGUGUAGCGGUGAAAUACGUAGAUAUAGGAAGGAACACCAGUGGCGAAGGCGACCACCUGUGCUCAUACUGACACUGAGGUGCGAAAGCGUGGGGAGCAAACAGG
RNAcentral lists this ribosomal RNA (429 nucleotides) under Pseudomonadota bacterium. Its description in RNAcentral is "Proteobacteria bacterium partial 16S ribosomal RNA". It matches the Rfam family "Bacterial small subunit ribosomal RNA", at positions 355 to 776 of the family's 1533-position model. The record is from RNAcentral. Lineage: Bacteria; Pseudomonadati; Pseudomonadota.